UAAGUAGGGGGAAAGCGUUGUCCGGAUUUAUUGGGCGUAAAGAGCGUGUAGGCGGCCUGACAGGUCUGCUGUGAAAACUCGAGGCUCAACCUCGAGAUGUCGGCGGAAACCGUCUGGCUAGAGUCCGGAAGAGGAGAGUGGAAUUCCUGGUGUAGCGGUGAAAUGCGCAGAUAUCAGGAAGAACACCUAUGGCGAAGGCAGCUCUCUGGGACGUUUCUGACGCUGAGACGCGAAAUCUUGGGGAGCGAACAGG
Molecule: ribosomal RNA, 253 nt
Filed under: uncultured bacterium
Lineage: Bacteria
Description: partial 16S ribosomal RNA
Rfam family: Bacterial small subunit ribosomal RNA
Source: RNAcentral